CACGUAGGGGGCAAGCGUUGUCCGGAUUUACUGGGCGUAAAGAGCGCGCAGGCGGUCGUUCAAGUCGCGUGUGAAAGCCCCCGGCUCAACUGGGGAGGGUCACGCGAUACUGAUCGACUCGAAGGCAGGAGAGGGUAGUGGAAUUCCCGGUGUAGUGGUGAAAUGCGUAGAUAUCGGGAGGAACACCAGUGGCGAAGGCAGCUCGCUGGGACGGUACUGACGCUGAGACGCGAAAGCGUGGGGAGCAAACAGG
RNAcentral lists this ribosomal RNA (253 nucleotides) under uncultured bacterium. RNAcentral describes it as "partial 16S ribosomal RNA". It matches the Rfam family "Bacterial small subunit ribosomal RNA", at positions 524 to 776 of the family's 1533-position model. The record is from RNAcentral.